Molecule: transfer RNA, 86 nt
Filed under: Achromobacter insuavis
Lineage: Bacteria; Pseudomonadati; Pseudomonadota; Betaproteobacteria; Burkholderiales; Alcaligenaceae
Also listed under: 4 other names
Description: tRNA-Asp
Source: RNAcentral
AGGCUUAAAGCCCUGGUUAUUUUGGGGCUUUAAGCCUAUCGUGCUUAUGCGUUGCCGGCGCCCUCGGGCGCCUCGAGCCAGGCCGG